UGACACUGAUGGAUUUCCAUAGAGAUACGAUUGAUCGGAUUAAUCGUAACUCUUUGUACAACAGGGCCCAGAUCGUGCGAAGACUUGAUGAAAGAGAACAUUUUAGUGAAAUAUGUACUAUACUUAUGGGGAAGUUUUAUGUAUGUGACAUCACAUAUCUUGGUUGCAAUGCCCAUGGGAGGAUCUACAUAGUGAUAUUGAUCUGAAUAUUCAGAUGCCCAUAUUCAUUCAUUCUUCCUCACACAUUUAUUGAUCUAUUUGAAGUCAACUGGUCUCAAGGGUUUCGUCCUCUUUUAGAGUAAAAUCUUGAUAAUGUUUAUCAAUAUAAACAUGAUAGAAAUGUAUCAUUCUGAAUUUGUAAAUAAAUCUUUCUACACUUUUUUUCUAA
Molecule: long non-coding RNA, 388 nt
Organism: Lytechinus variegatus (green sea urchin)
Lineage: Eukaryota; Metazoa; Echinodermata; Echinoidea; Temnopleuroida; Toxopneustidae
Exons: 2
Source: RefSeq, a predicted model, not a curated record